RNAcentral lists this ribosomal RNA (1539 nucleotides) under Klebsiella pneumoniae. RNAcentral describes it as "16S ribosomal RNA". It matches the Rfam family "Bacterial small subunit ribosomal RNA". RNAcentral also lists the same sequence under 1 other name. The record is from RNAcentral. Lineage: Bacteria; Pseudomonadati; Pseudomonadota; Gammaproteobacteria; Enterobacterales; Enterobacteriaceae.
AAAUUGAAGAGUUUGAUCAUGGCUCAGAUUGAACGCUGGCGGCAGGCCUAACACAUGCAAGUCGAGCGGUAGCACAGAGAGCUUGCUCUCGGGUGACGAGCGGCGGACGGGUGAGUAAUGUCUGGGAAACUGCCUGAUGGAGGGGAUAACUACUGGAAACGGUAGCUAAUACCGCAUAACGUCGCAAGACCAAAGUGGGGGACCUUCGGGCCUCAUGCCAUCAGAUGUGCCCAGAUGGGAUUAGCUAGUAGGUGGGGUAACGGCUCACCUAGGCGACGAUCCCUAGCUGGUCUGAGAGGAUGACCAGCCACACUGGAACUGAGACACGGUCCAGACUCCUACGGGAGGCAGCAGUGGGGAAUAUUGCACAAUGGGCGCAAGCCUGAUGCAGCCAUGCCGCGUGUGUGAAGAAGGCCUUCGGGUUGUAAAGCACUUUCAGCGGGGAGGAAGGCGAUAAGGUUAAUAACCUUGUCGAUUGACGUUACCCGCAGAAGAAGCACCGGCUAACUCCGUGCCAGCAGCCGCGGUAAUACGGAGGGUGCAAGCGUUAAUCGGAAUUACUGGGCGUAAAGCGCACGCAGGCGGUCUGUCAAGUCGGAUGUGAAAUCCCCGGGCUCAACCUGGGAACUGCAUUCGAAACUGGCAGGCUAGAGUCUUGUAGAGGGGGGUAGAAUUCCAGGUGUAGCGGUGAAAUGCGUAGAGAUCUGGAGGAAUACCGGUGGCGAAGGCGGCCCCCUGGACAAAGACUGACGCUCAGGUGCGAAAGCGUGGGGAGCAAACAGGAUUAGAUACCCUGGUAGUCCACGCCGUAAACGAUGUCGAUUUGGAGGUUGUGCCCUUGAGGCGUGGCUUCCGGAGCUAACGCGUUAAAUCGACCGCCUGGGGAGUACGGCCGCAAGGUUAAAACUCAAAUGAAUUGACGGGGGCCCGCACAAGCGGUGGAGCAUGUGGUUUAAUUCGAUGCAACGCGAAGAACCUUACCUGGUCUUGACAUCCACAGAACUUUCCAGAGAUGGAUUGGUGCCUUCGGGAACUGUGAGACAGGUGCUGCAUGGCUGUCGUCAGCUCGUGUUGUGAAAUGUUGGGUUAAGUCCCGCAACGAGCGCAACCCUUAUCCUUUGUUGCCAGCGGUCCGGCCGGGAACUCAAAGGAGACUGCCAGUGAUAAACUGGAGGAAGGUGGGGAUGACGUCAAGUCAUCAUGGCCCUUACGACCAGGGCUACACACGUGCUACAAUGGCAUAUACAAAGAGAAGCGACCUCGCGAGAGCAAGCGGACCUCAUAAAGUAUGUCGUAGUCCGGAUUGGAGUCUGCAACUCGACUCCAUGAAGUCGGAAUCGCUAGUAAUCGUAGAUCAGAAUGCUACGGUGAAUACGUUCCCGGGCCUUGUACACACCGCCCGUCACACCAUGGGAGUGGGUUGCAAAAGAAGUAGGUAGCUUAACCUUCGGGAGGGCGCUUACCACUUUGUGAUUCAUGACUGGGGUGAAGUCGUAACAAGGUAACCGUAGGGGAACCUGCGGUUGGAUCACCUCCUUA